RNAcentral lists this ribosomal RNA (465 nucleotides) under Vreelandella stevensii. RNAcentral's name for it is "partial 16S ribosomal RNA". It matches the Rfam family "Bacterial small subunit ribosomal RNA", at positions 338 to 795 of the family's 1533-position model. Lineage: Bacteria; Pseudomonadati; Pseudomonadota; Gammaproteobacteria; Oceanospirillales; Halomonadaceae. The record is from RNAcentral.
CCUACGGGUGGCAGCAGUGGGGAAUAUUGGACAAUGGGGGCAACCCUGAUCCAGCCAUGCCGCGUGUGUGAAGAAGGCCCUCGGGUUGUAAAGCACUUUCAGUGAGGAAGAACGCCUGGUGGUUAAUACCCAUCAGGAAAGACAUCACUCACAGAAGAAGCACCGGCUAACUCCGUGCCAGCAGCCGCGGUAAUACGGAGGGUGCGAGCGUUAAUCGGGAUUACUGGGCGUAAAGCGCGUGUAGGUGGCUUGAUAAGCCGGUUGUGAAAGCCCCGGGCUCAACCUGGGAACGGCAUCCGGAACUGUCAAGCUAGAGUGCAGGAGAGGAAGGUAGAAUUCCCGGUGUAGCGGUGAAAUGCGUAGAGAUCGGGAGGAAUACCAGUGGCGAAGGCGGCCUUCUGGACUGACACUGACACUGAGGUGCGAAAGCGUGGGUAGCAAACAGGAUUAGAUACCCCAGUAGUC